AUACUUUAUUAAAUAUGUAACAAACAGUUCGACCGUAUUUGUUUAAAUAGGUAAUGACUCAAAAAAGGGAAAGGUAGCAAUAAAGAAUCAUGUUUAUUUAUUUGUUUACUACGAGUAUUAUGAAUCAUAUUGUGAACACGGUUUAGUUUGUCUUUUUGUUUGAUUGAAGGUAGUUGAUAAAUUAAUGUGAAUGUU
Melitaea cinxia (Glanville fritillary) is the source of this 195-nucleotide long non-coding RNA. RefSeq lists it as uncharacterized. The transcript is spliced from 2 exons. NCBI's taxonomy places the organism in Eukaryota, Metazoa, Arthropoda, Insecta, Lepidoptera, Nymphalidae. The record is from RefSeq and is a predicted model, not a curated record.